RNAcentral lists this long non-coding RNA (2925 nucleotides) under Nicotiana benthamiana. RNAcentral describes it as "long non-coding RNA (NBEN_LNC026197)". Lineage: Eukaryota; Viridiplantae; Streptophyta; Magnoliopsida; Solanales; Solanaceae. The record is from RNAcentral.
GGCCGUAAUAAUCUCUAUUUACUUUCUCACAUGAAGUUAAAGAACAGGGGAUUUUCAGGAUAAAGUAUGCUAGACGGGAGCCUCUUGAACAUCUAAAGAUGUGUUGCUAGAUCUGAGCACUUGCCAAGUUAGGAAUUUCAGGAUAUUUAGUAGUUUUAAGUGUUGUUUGGUAAAACUUAAACUAAUCAGUGGAAUCUAAGAGCUAAUCCAGUCCAAUACCACAUACUGAUAAGCUAAUAGCGUUUCUCAAUGUCAAUGCUCGCUAGAGUUCAGAAGAAACUUGUUCUCUCCUUCAGAAAAAUAGAAUUUCUUUUCCACCAACUUUCUGCUGAUAAUUUCGGCAUUUUGAUUUAGUUUCGUUAGAAAAAAGAAAGCAGUAGAUCUCUACAUUAAUGGUUUUCAAGAAGUUGUUUUCUAAUGUGUCCUUUAUCUUAUGUACAUCAAAUUCAGCAUUUUCGUCAACCAAUAUAUACCAUAUCCAACAUUGGCAUAGUUCUGCUGCCAGAGAUGGACUGUCGAUCUUAGAAUCAAUAUACUUAUUGGCUGCACCUUUGACAUUUUUCGGCAUUUUAUUAUGUAAACAUGCACUAAAAUGAGCUUGCUUACCCAAUAAAGUAAUAAGGAGUGGUCGGUUUAUUGUUGCUUACAUUUUAAUGCUCAUGCUCUUUGGCUAAGAAGCGGUUUGCCUUCUGAAAUCUGAAUAUUCUACAUUUAACUUACCUUAACUUUGUAAGAGAACAUGUCUACAUCGGCCUUGAAACCCUUUUCUUAAAGGAUAAGUCUAGAUCAUAUGCAAUACAUUCUAGAGAACACGACCAAAUAAUGAAUCCAUAUACGACAAGGAAAUGCUUGACGGCCAUGUUUGGUUUGAGAAGUUUGUCAGAAGUCUUUCAAAACCCAAAAACUAAGUUUGAAAUUUUGUUUGGGUAUUGUCCUUUUUCCAACGAAACCGAGAAGCCAGUUUUUUAACCUAAAGUGAGCUCUAACCCAAAACUGGUUGAUAUUGGAUAGUUAAAUAUGAGAGAUUUAGGGUGAAGCUUUAACCAAUAAGUGUUUGGACGAUGAGGUAUUUCUGUUGUGUGUUUGUGUACAUAUAUUUUUAUAACAGUUAUUGUUUUGACGUUGCGCUGAUGGACAAUGAGUGUGUGGUUCUCUUUUUACACAUUUUUUCAUUUUUACUUAUCCAGCAAUCAGUGCACUCAGUUUACUUUUUACUUAUCUUUUGUGUCCUGCACGCUGUGGCAGUUAGAAAGCUAUGUUCAUUUACUGGUUGCCUGGUUAUUUGACUGCACAUAAUCAUGGUGCCGGAGAGUAGGUGAUUGCAUAUGAAUAUCAGUCACACAACCUUCUCCCUUUCUGGCAACUGUUUGACUUUGAUUGGCAUACAACAGAGAGAGAUUUGCUAAGCCCUUGGUUAAAUGAACCUAAAUAGUCGAUCCCCACCCAUCGUGAAGUAAAGAAACUUCAGUUCAGAAAAAAGAAGAGAGAAAUUUAAUCUUUAUGGGAGGUCUUUCCCAUGUGGGAACUGCAUUAUCGAACAACUCUAACUUCACCAUGAGCUUGUAUCGAAUAUACAGUAUGGAGGGAGGAUCCCAUAGCACAACGUGGUGCUUGGGGCAUUCCUCCUUUUAAGAGAAGACUAGAGGGCAAAAGAAGUAAGCUCUUACAUUGGAUAAAGCCUAAUUCCACCGUCCUUCGAAAAUCAGAUAAUAGUGAAGACGGACUUUCUAGCAAAACAAAUGAUUCCCUAUGAAGGACAUAUUGCUAAAAGAAACAAAAGAUCAUCAGAGAAUCCUCCUUUCAUGUUCAUUAUAACUAUAUUUAGCAUCAAACUGUUGCGUGUUGCCUGUCUUAGUUCACUGCCUUCUUUUGAGUAACUGCUUUCACCGAGCCAAGGGUUUUUAUCGGAAACAACUUCUCUACCUUUGCAAGGUAGGGGCAAGGUCUGUGUACUCCUUACCCUUUCCAAGAGCUCACUUGUGAGAUUAUACGUCUAUGUUGUUGUUCUUGUUUUCUUUUAAGUAACCCAGUUUUAGCUCAGUGCCUUUGCAAUCACUUCUUCACCAAACUCGAACUCUUGGGUUGUAGAAUUGGAGCUCUUAUUUUCUUUUGUUCUCUUUUUCUCAAAACAGUGUUAUCUUUCAAUACAUAAUUUGAAAGAAAGGAACAUUUAACAUAGAACAUCCAAUUAAACUAGAAAUAUCAGUUCACCAAGUAAACUAAUCGACCUUAAAUAUUGGUAACUCACAGAUGCGCAAAGAGCUAAUAUCAGUUUAAAAUGGACAUCAAAAUAUUGAAAUAAACAAGUUUACAAAUUUCAACCAAUCAAUUAUGUCUCAGUCUCAAACUAAAGGUCACUACUUAACUAGUUUGAAAACUUCAUCCAAUCAAUUAUGCCGCAAUCUAAAACUAAUGGUCACUGCUUAACUAGGCUCUUGAGGUGUACGGCGAUGGCCCUUGGUGCAAUCAAAUACUGAUGCCUCAGAAGAAUCGUAAGAAUCCCAAUAUAUCCAGCUAUUUCUUCCAGUGUCGGAAUGAGUUCAAAAUCUGGAAAAUGAAAUACGUUGUGGGCAAGGUCCCAAAAUGUAACCAAAGCGUAUAUGAUGUCUCCUCUGGGAUUAAUUUUUAACAAACUGGUAAGUCUUCCCAAGUGCGUGUUGACCCUGUUUUGCCCCGCUUCACCCAGAUCAUUCCACCACAUGUGUAGCUCCAAAGGGAUUUUAUUCAUGACCGUUAUUGGCAAAUUUUGAUUCAUGUUCAUUCUGCAUAUUUAUUAGGGUGAUUAAGCAAAAAUCAAGAUUUAUUUGACUCAAAAACAAAGUUGAUUUUUCGAAUUUUAAUUUCACAAAUUAAAUCCCGGCCUUGCAAGUACGGCCUUUCAGCACUUCCGGAGGACGAUUUUAAGGUUGUGCCUGCUACCGGUCA